Non-coding RNA from Otolemur garnettii (small-eared galago), 75 nucleotides. The record is from Rfam. Lineage: Eukaryota; Metazoa; Chordata; Mammalia; Primates; Galagidae.
GGUCAGUGAUGAACUGGUAUGUAUUAUGAAUGUAAUGUUGAUUAUUAUUAUAUUAGCUCUAGAAUUAGAGAACUU